This is a long non-coding RNA of Gordionus sp. m RMFG-2023, 569 nucleotides long. RefSeq lists it as uncharacterized. The record is from RefSeq and is a predicted model, not a curated record. Lineage: Eukaryota; Metazoa; Nematomorpha; Gordioida; Chordodea; Parachordodidae. The transcript has 3 exons.
AUUCAAAAUAUACGACGGAGCCAUUUGAUGAGUACUCAUUCAAUAAUAAUAACAAUCCUUCCAACCUUAAAACUAUUUCAUUAUUGCAGGGAUUGAAAAGAAGAAAAGUAUCAUCAAAUGGCGAUAGUGACAAUCAAAUAAACACCUAUCUUCUUGAGCCGGUAGCGCCCGAGACAACUAACGUGCUAGAUUGGUGGAGAGGAAAUGAAAAUCGAUUUCCUCAUUUAGCUAAGAUGGCGCGAGACUUUCUAUGCCAACAAACAACUUCCGUGGCAUCGGAAAGAACUUUUUCUCUUGCUGGAAAUACUAUUACUAAAUUGAGGAACAGGAUGGCUCCCUCCACCCUAAAACAAUGCAUAUCGCUAUCAUCUUGGGAUAUAAAUAUAAUGGGCCUUCAUGACGAUAUAUGGCAAUAAUCUGUUAGGCAUAGCUGGAGUCUAUAUCCACGAGCAAGAUGAGAUGCAUUCGAUUCGUGUUUAUGAAAAAAUUAUAUAAAUAUAAUUAAUAUUGUAUUUUAUAUUCUAUUGUAUAUAUUUUUAUUUAAAUCAAAUUUUAAAAAUAAAUUUAUU